AGUGAACGCUGGCGAUAGGCCUAACACAUGCAAGUCGAACGGCAGCACAGUAAGAGCUUGCUCUUACGGGUGGCGAGUGGCGGACGGGUGAGGAAUACAUCGGAAUCUACUUUUUCGUGGGGGAUAACGUAGGGAAACUUACGCUAAUACCGCAUACGACCUACCGGUGAAAGCAGGGGAUCUUCGGACCUUGCGCGAUUGAAUGAGCCGAUGUCGGAUUAGCUAGUUGGCGGGGUAAAGGCCCACCAAGGCGACGAUCCGUAGCUGGUCUGAGAGGAUGAUCAGCCACACUGGAACUGAGACACGGUCCAGACUCCUACGGGAGGCAGCAGUGGGGAAUAUUGGACAAUGGGCGCAAGCCUGAUCCAGCCAUACCGCGUGGGUGAAGAAGGCCUUCGGGUUGUAAAGCCCUUUUGUUGGGAAAGAAAAGCAGCAGGUUAAUACCCCGCUGUUCUGACGGUACCCAAAGAAUAAGCACCGGCUAACUUCGUG
RNAcentral lists this ribosomal RNA (492 nucleotides) under uncultured bacterium. RNAcentral describes it as "partial 16S ribosomal RNA". It matches the Rfam family "Bacterial small subunit ribosomal RNA", at positions 29 to 507 of the family's 1533-position model. The record is from RNAcentral.